GUGCAUUACUCUAAAAAUUCCAGUUGAGUGUUCUGUAGUGGUGGGGUUUGCCCUUUCACCACUGAUUCUUGUAAUGGUAGAAGCCUUGGCUAGUAAAACAGCACUUAGACAUGACUUAACCACUAGACUGAGCUAUUAAAUUUUACAGAAGUGAUGGCUGGGGUAAGUUACAUUUAGAUAGAAUGCAUAGCAACACCUGUGACCAUAACUUUUGAUAUUUGUAAGUCUUAGGGCACAAUAAUCAAUGGAUAUAGGAUGGCUUGUGUACAUUCGGAGAAACGGAAAAAAACUUUGUAUGAUUGAAGAAUAUUCAAGUUUCGGACUGCAACUGUCCCAGAGCAGCUGCUGCUGCUCUCAGGGAAACAUCGAGCCUCAGGUUGACUUUCUUGCUUGUCCACUGGAAUUCACAAUCCCAUUCUCUGCUUGCUGAAAGUGCCCAACGUUUCCUUAUGCUGAUCCCAAAUCCUGCCUUUCUCCACACCAGCUGGUGACAGUGGCAGCAGGCACUGCACGCCGGGAUGUCACACUGCGGGGUGGCUGCUCUGCAAGGACCGCUCCGUGCUAAGGGCCCCUGUGAAAGCACUCGAUGUGGCACUUAAAACGUGUUCUGUGCCCCCAGUGGCAAACUGGGCUCUCUGCACAAAGGCAGACUGAGCUGGUUUUGCUAAAAGAACCGUGUCAGGCUGCCAGCUGUGCCCUUGUCCAGCCCCUGCUCCACUUGAAGUCUGGCUUCCAAAAACUCCACAGAACUAUUCAGACACAGAACUGUUGUGGUAAUAAGGAAUUAUUUAAACUGGAGGAUGUGAUUCCCAAAGUCAUCUUUCAACAUGGAAGCAACCUCUCAAACCCCCAACCCUGUGUAAAUAAGCAGUAAAUUAUGUAACCAUGCCAAAUGACAAUGUACAGUCAGUUUCAAAGUGCAAGACUGUGGUAUGUUGAUGGUGAUAGUGAGGGAACUUUCUUGGUCAAGAUCUUGCUGGUGGUGGCAUUACUAAUACUGUGCUUUUAAAUGUUUUAAUCCUUCUUACAGUAUUUUAAUGUGUGAUGGAAGGUUAAGUUGUUGAGCUAAUGCAUAUUAAACAACUCUUAUAUUUAAAAGGUUCAUUUAUUUUUCUGAGCAGAAACAAAUUUCAAGACUUCUUUAAUCCAUAAAUCCCUGAGAAUAGUAGUCCUUACUGUUAGGAGCCAGUUAGCAGUUUGAGAACUUUUAAAGAACAAAAACCAGAUUUAAGUCGACCUUCCCUGUGUUUGGCUCAUGGAUGAGUUACUGUCAGGACAUGGUUUGUGUGCAUUUAUAUUUCAGAUGGGCUUCUCAAUUCACUUUUACACAAGAUUUUCUUUCUGGAUUUCCUUUUUUAAGGCUCCAGUUAUAGCUAAGUCUGCAUAAAGAAUAUACUCAGAAUAUCCAGUUGUAUAAUUCUGGGAUGUCUUGAGCACCAGACUAAAUCAACAGCUCUGAUGAAACGCAAAACUGAAAAAGUUUUCUUUUCAAAACUGACAGACAUCUUGUCAGGAAAACUGCAACCUUGGUAGUGCAGUUGUUUUCAAUUUGGCAUUUUUGUCCUUGACUAAAAUUUUAAGAGUGAACUUAAAUAAAAAUGUAACAAGGAGUCUGUGUUAGGCCUCAGAUUCUCCCAUAAGCAGUGGUGAGUCUUGGUGUACAGCAGGAUGUGGGAUGAAUGGUACAUGGAAUUGUUACUGAUAGAAAGGUGCCUGUUGCCCUUCUGUCUCUGGUUAUUGGCAGUAUUUGGUUUUGUGUUUAGAUCUUACUAAACAGUCUUGUAAAAUGUAAUUGUUUCAUGAUUUGCUCCUCUUCUGGAGGAGUAACUGACCUGUUGCUGUGAUGUGUCUGCACUUCACAAAGCAAAGAGUCAGUUAUCUACAGUUUGUACUUUUUCUUAUAAUAAAUGACAUCUUCAUCCCCCAAGCAUUCCUGAAUCAUAGUAAAUUAAAAUGGUUUUGAGCUUGAGAAGUAUUUGUACUUAAAUUGUAUCAUUUGAAUCCAGAGAUUUUGCAAAUGGUGUGGUUCUGUUGUAAAUACCUAGUAAAAGGUGUGUGCAGUGCUGCAUUGACAGUGUGUUUACAGUAGUUGAUGAGUUUAAGUUACUUUGGUUUUUGUUAUGCAGGUCACAUGUUGUGUCUGAAGGCUGCUAAGAGUGGCAUUUUUGGUCACAUUAGUCUGUACUGAGAGAAUAAAUGUUAACAGAUGUGAUGCUGAGAAGUUUAGUUUCAUUGUCAUCAAUUUACAGAAGUACAUGGGGGGCUUGUGUGUGUAAAUAUUUAGAAUUCAGGAAUACCUCAAACAUGUACAUUGGAUUUUUUUUUUCCCUAAAACCAUUCACAAUUGUGCCAGUACACUGAAUAGUUAAGGUCAGUUGUUCAAAAACCUGAAACAGCAAAGCAAGAAGCCAAACAGAGGGUGGGGGUCUGGUAGAGUUUCAAAGCUGGAGGGUGCUUGUGCUCACAGUGAGUUGCAACACUUGGUUACAUCUGCUUGUAAAUGAGAAAUAUUUAGGGAACCAUAGUUUCUCAAGUGUCAUUUAACAUUUCUUUUCAAAGUGUAGAAGAAUAUUUAAGUAGUCUUGCAGGAUAAAGACUUAAUACAUUAUAGACUGUAAAUCUUCUUUGUAAAAACUUCGGUUUUUUUGCUUGUAUAGAAUACAAAUCUCAGUUGUGAAACCCAAAGAUGAAUAAAGCUCUAUAAAGGGAA
Ficedula albicollis (Collared flycatcher) is the source of this 2710-nucleotide long non-coding RNA. RefSeq lists it as uncharacterized. NCBI's taxonomy places the organism in Eukaryota, Metazoa, Chordata, Aves, Passeriformes, Muscicapidae. The transcript is spliced from 2 exons. The record is from RefSeq and is a predicted model, not a curated record.